This 253-nucleotide ribosomal RNA is filed under the name uncultured bacterium. RNAcentral's name for it is "partial 16S ribosomal RNA". It matches the Rfam family "Bacterial small subunit ribosomal RNA", at positions 524 to 776 of the family's 1533-position model. The record is from RNAcentral.
UACGAAAGGUGCAAGCGUUGUUCGGAAUUACUGGGCGUAAAGCGCGUGUAGGCGGGCCGUUAAGUCGGGGGUGAAAGCCCAGAGCUCAACUCUGGAAUUGCCUUCGAUACUGGCGGCCUGGAGCAUGAUAGAGGCGAGUGGAAUUGCGAGUGUAGAGGUGAAAUUCGUAGAUAUUCGCAGGAACACCAGUGGCGAAGGCGACUCGCUGGAUCAUUGCUGACGCUGAGACGCGAAAGCGUGGGGAGCAAACAGG